This 1587-nucleotide long non-coding RNA is filed under the name Heterocephalus glaber (naked mole-rat). RNAcentral's name for it is "lncRNA (ENSHGLG00000040199.1)". The record is from RNAcentral. Lineage: Eukaryota; Metazoa; Chordata; Mammalia; Rodentia; Bathyergidae.
CAUGGUUCUAAGCCUAAUCCUCUCUGGUCCUGCCAUAUCCUUGGGGUUGGGAAGAUUCAGAAGUACAGUAUCCCUAAACACAUCAAAGGAUUUCCUUUGUUUAAUCAAUAUCAUCUAUUACACUUUGGGUAUGAAAGUUCAAGCCAGUGACAGAUGAACGCAGGCAAUAGAUUAAGCAAUCCUGCAGUGCUGUGAAUACCGGUAGGGUCCUGGAACACCAUGGAUGUCAUCAAUAGGUCAUAGAUCCCUGCGGAGGCCUUAGUGAUAACUGGUAUCAUACCAACCAGGGUAUCAUACUGAGUGUUACGAAGGACAGUGAUCUGGUGAACAGAUAGUGUCUUAUUUGCUUUUGGGGGGGGUAUAUACAUUUAAUUUCUUAUCUUUACUAAUAAUUCUCUGAGAACAGUCUCAGACUCUUACUUGAUAUCAGCAAUUCUGCAAAGAGUUGAACCAUGAAACAUAAAGAGAAGAAAAAACACCAGAAGAAGAAACUCUUAAAACGACCCGUGAAAAGGGGUACAAGAGGAAAGUUGGAUUUACAAGAUGUUCUGCAGGGUAGAGCCAAGGUACUGGCCCAUACUCAAGGCCACAAAGUGGCGGAUAGUUCUUCCUCAACCUCAGGGGACUUCUCCUAUGAAGACAAAUUCUUGGAUGCAGAUGACCUUAGAAUCCAGGAGCCAGUCAGGAGAUAAAUUUGUACAAGUUCAUUCUCAAAGGCCUGAGGUGGAACAGAGGUGGAGCAGACCCUGUUGGUUCAACAACUGAAUAAAUGACCACUUUUCUCCAAAACUGCCCAGGUUCUGUUUCCAAAACUCACCAUGUUCAUUUUUCUAUCUCCCAAAAGUUUAUUUGAAAAAUGAAGGGUGAGGGGGUAAGAGGAAAACCAGCUCUGUAGAGCAAACGUGAGCCAAAAAAAGAAAAGAUAAAAAGAGCAAAAAUUAAAAAUACACCCUGGGUUUGGGAAACCCAGGGUGGGCUACUGUGAAGAGUAAAGAUAGCAAGCUCCUCCCGGUUUCUGGUCUUCCUCAUGAUGUCCAUAUCUUGUGGAGCUCAUAGGAAGUUCUACAUAUGGGGUCCAGAGAAUCAUCUGGCACUGCCCUGGAGUCUUGUAAUUUACAGGUCCCUCCCACUUCUCUAGUCAGUUUGCCACGUUCUACCACCUAUAUCAGAAGGUUAAAGAUCCAAUAGAAAUGUGGAACCACAUUUCUGAAAGAUGAAUUGGGAUCAAGUCUAUAAAGUCUUCAUUUGAAUGCUUACCUGUGCCAUGCCCAGUUCCUAGAGAACCAUCUAACAAUUUGUAUCUUUGCAUGCAGGUCCAUCUUUUAUUCAUAUUCACAUCAACCCUUCCAUGUAUAUGACUCUACAUUCACCAAAAUAAAUGAGUCAACAUUCACAAUUCCUCAUGAAACUUGUACUCCACAGCCUUCACUGGCACAAUUUAUUACCAGGAAAUUGAGCCAAUAAAAAUCGCAACAGUAAUAAUAAUAUCUAACCACUAGUGAACGUAUAUCAUAUUUUAAACAUAUUUGAGUUCCCAAUAUGCUGUAUACAUCUCUAAAAAUAUAUAGAAGAUACCCAAUCCCAGUG